Molecule: ribosomal RNA, 262 nt
Filed under: uncultured bacterium
Lineage: Bacteria
Description: partial 16S ribosomal RNA
Rfam family: Bacterial small subunit ribosomal RNA
Source: RNAcentral
GUCCACGCCCUAAACGAUGUCAACUGGUUGUUGGGAAUUAACUUUCUCAGUAACGAAGCUAACGCGUGAAGUUGACCGCCUGGGGAGUACGGCCGCAAGGUUAAACUCAAAGGAAUUGACGGGACCCGCACAAGCGGUGGAUGAUGUGGUUUAAUUCGAUGCAACGCGAAAACCUUACCCACCUUUGACAUGGCAGGAACUUACCAGAGAUGGUUUUGGUGCUCGAAAGAGAACCUGCACACAGGUGCUGCAUGGCUGUCGU